This 942-nucleotide long non-coding RNA is filed under the name Vulpes vulpes (red fox). Its description in RNAcentral is "lncRNA (ENSVVUG00000022213.1)". Lineage: Eukaryota; Metazoa; Chordata; Mammalia; Carnivora; Canidae. The record is from RNAcentral.
UACUCUGUUAGGAGAGGAUGGUAAAAUUACAAUUAUUUUCCAGCACUCAUCUGUGUGUCUACACUGACCCAAUGGGUACUACUGGGAGAAUCUGAAAGAACGGCAUCAUGUGGAAUGGCCAAAAGAACAGUACGUCAGCCCGUCUAGAAGGAAAACAUUUUAAACAAAUAUUUCCCAACAACCUGCUGAGAUUCCUGCUGCAUGGUAAGUAAUACUGAACCACAUCAACUGGAUUUUGAAGGCAUCCUCUGCUGGCGACCUGUGCACAGCUGCAUCUCUAGAAUAGCUUCAUGUCCAAGGCGGUAAUAUCCGUCAGGUAUUAAACAUGCAAAGCUUGUGUGUUGCAUACCUCCCACCUGCUGCAAAGGUACAGUGACUUAGUGUCCAGUUAAAAUUUUAAGACAAUCCAUACUCAGCAUUAGGGAAGAAGAUAUUAUAUAAGCUUGAUAUCGGCAAGACUUGGGAUUAGGGAAAGAAAAAAAUCAUUUCAAAUUGAAGAUUAGGAGGCUUGGUUACACUAUGACUCCAGCGAUAUUGGUCAUACAUCUAUACAAUUGCUUUUUGUAAUAGUUCACCAUGAACACAAACCUAUUUAUGGCCUACUGUCAUGGUGAUGUAUCUCUUUUCUCCGAGUUGUUUAGAAUCCCAAUACUGUGAAAAGGAAUCGUGGUGACAAAAAAAAUAAUACUUCAUAUAAUGAAAUGUCAAGAAAUUUAAGUUAAAGUAAGGUAACGAGACAUAGGUUUGAGGUAUAAAACAUGAUCUAUGCUUAUAAUCCAAGCAGAAAUGGACAGUGGAGCAUCAUUAGAACAUCUGGAUCAUUUUAGAAACUGAUUAUGUUUGCCAUCAAGGACCAGGUUGAAAUCUCAUUUUUCUUACCUAUUUUAUUAUAGCGCUGGUAAAGAAAUAGAAGGAGCAGGUGCUCACAACAUCUGAAAAAAG